Molecule: unclassified non-coding RNA, 424 nt
Filed under: uncultured Diversispora
Lineage: Eukaryota; Fungi; Glomeromycota; Glomeromycetes; Diversisporales; Diversisporaceae
Description: sequence contains ITS1
Rfam family: 5.8S ribosomal RNA (bases 1-100)
Source: RNAcentral
GAAAUGCGAUACGUAGUGUGAAUUGCAGAAGUCUGUGAAUCAUCGAAAUUUUGAACGCAAGUUGCGCCGUUUUACUGACGGCAUACCUGUCUGAGCGUUGGUAACAACAAAACUCACAAAAACGUGGCGCACUCGUGGCUUCACGUUUUGUGGACAUGAGUUUACGGUUCAGCUGUUGACUUGAAAAGCAUUCGUGUGUGGUCAGGAAAAGAGUGAGGUGUGAUGAUUCAUCGUCAUCACCGCUCUUUAUUCUGGGUGUUUUCAGGUGCCAUUACGUGCACAUUCCAUGUAAACAUGCUAGGUAAAGAGAUUGAACACGACUAUUCGUGAACACAUGCGUAAUCGGCGGCGGCGGCAGCAGAUGUGCCAUCGCUGUUCUGAAAAAAUCAACCUCAGAUCAGGUAAGACUACCCGCUGAACUUAA